GAUGAACGCUGGCGGCGUGCCUAACACAUGCAAGUCGAACGGAGUCCAGCCUUUAAGACCUUCGGGUCAAAGAGGGGAAGACUGAGUGGCGGACGGGUGAGUAACACGUGGGCAACCUGGCUCAUAGAGGGGGAUAACAUAGAGAAAUUUCUGCUAAUACCGCAUAAGCACACACUGCCGCAUGGCAGAGGGUGAAAAGAGAAUCGCUAUGAGAUGGACCCGCGUCUGAUUAGCCAGUUGGCAGGGUAAGAGCCUACCAAAGCGACGAUCAGUAGCCGAUCUGAGAGGAUGAACGGCCACAUUGGGACUGAGACACGGCCCAAACUCCUACGGGAGGCAGCAGUGGGGGAUAUUGCACAAUGGGGGGAACCCUGAUGCAGCGACGCCGCGUGAGUGAAGAAGUAUUUCGGUAUGUAAAGCUCUAUCAGCAGGGAAGAUAAUGACAGUACCUGAAUAAGAAGCCCCGGCUAACUACGUG
This 478-nucleotide ribosomal RNA is filed under the name uncultured bacterium. RNAcentral's name for it is "partial 16S ribosomal RNA". It matches the Rfam family "Bacterial small subunit ribosomal RNA", at positions 28 to 507 of the family's 1533-position model. The record is from RNAcentral.